AUGUCAUGGAAAUCCGCCGCCCGAGUUGCUCUGACGCGCAAACGUGACGUAAUUGCCUGGCUCGUACCACUUAUAGUGUUCCAAAUGCGUCUUUGGGCAUUUGCUACAGGACGAGUUGGAAAGAACAUGGACGCCACCAGUGCAGCAGCUGCCAUGCUAAUGCUGGACGUUUUCCUAGAACAUGAGAACAAGCAUGUAGCUCAUCUAAACAAGCUCCAGAAGCUCCAGAAAGAGGCGACAGAAGAAGAAAAUAGAAAACGAAAACGAAGCCGGAUGUGAAGAACACCCGUCUUGGAUGUCCAAGAGAGGAAGAUGAAAAUGACCAAGAAGUGGUGUUCUAGCAAAGUUUUGGCAAAACAAAAGACAAAAUUAAAUAUAUGCUUCUAUCAACAUUGUGUUGGUUGUAUUACGUAUAUGACGUUUCUUGCUGACACUAUUCCUGUGUUUUGUAAUAAAAGUGUUAAACCUUA
Molecule: long non-coding RNA, 470 nt
Organism: Alosa sapidissima (American shad)
Lineage: Eukaryota; Metazoa; Chordata; Actinopteri; Clupeiformes; Clupeidae
Exons: 3
Source: RefSeq, a predicted model, not a curated record